RNAcentral lists this small RNA (125 nucleotides) under Marmota monax (woodchuck). The record is from RNAcentral. Lineage: Eukaryota; Metazoa; Chordata; Mammalia; Rodentia; Sciuridae.
ACUGGGUGCGGUGGCACGCACCUGUAAUCCCAGUGGCUCAGGAGGUUGAGGCAGGAGGAUCACAAGUUCAAAGCCAGCCUCAGCAAAAGCAAGGUGCUAAGCAACUCAGUGAGACCCUGUCUCUA